This 1278-nucleotide ribosomal RNA is filed under the name Ochthebius sp. IBE<ESP> AN104. Its description in RNAcentral is "16S ribosomal RNA". The stretch from base 1037 to 1196 matches the Rfam family "Archaeal large subunit ribosomal RNA", at positions 2542 to 2701 of the family's 2987-position model. The record is from RNAcentral. Lineage: Eukaryota; Metazoa; Arthropoda; Insecta; Coleoptera; Hydraenidae.
AUUUAAAUUAUUAUAUUAAUUAAUUUUUUUUUAAAAUAUUAUAAAAUUUUAGUAAUCUUAAUGAAAAAAUUGUUAAAAUUAUAGUUAAAAGUAUAGUGAUAGAAAUUUAAAAUAAUUUAAAAUUUUUAAAAGAAUAAUUAAUUUUUAGUACCUUGUGUAUCAGGGUUAAUCAAAAAUUAAUUAAUAAAUUUAAUUUUCUCGAAUUUAAAAGAGUUAAAAAAUUAUAUUUUUUAUUGUAAAAUAAAUAUUAAAAAUAAUUUUUUAGUAAUGAAACGUUAUUCGUUUUUAAAUAUAUCUAGUUUUUUAAGAAAUAAAUUAAAUUUAUUAAUUAAUUAAGUUUUUUUAUUAAUAAAUAAAAAAAAAUUAGUUAAAAAUAUUUUAAGGGAUAAGCUUUAAAAUAAAUAUAUAUAAAUUUUUAAAAUUUAAUUAAAUAAAAGUAGAAUUAAAAAUUUUUAUCAGUUAUAAUUUGUUAUAAUUAAUAUUUUUUAUUAAAUUAUUUUUAUAAUUUUUAUUUUUUAUAUUAAAAUUAUUAAUAAAAUUUUAAAAUUAAUGAAAUAAUGAUUAAAUUAGUAUAAAAAAAAUGUAAUAUUAAAUUUUAAUUUUAGAUUAAGUUAAGGAAUUCGGCAAAUUAAUUUUUCGCCUGUUUAAUAAAAACAUGUCUUUUUGUUUAAAAUUUAAAGUCUAACCUGCCCAAUGAUUAUAAUUUAAUGGCUGCGGUAUUUUGACCGUACAAAGGUAGCAUAAUCAUUAGUUUUUUGAUUGAAAACUUGUAUGAAUGGUUGAACGAGAAAAUUACUGUCUCAAUUUAAAUUUAUUAGAAAUUUAUUUUUAAGUUAAAAAGCUUAAAUGUUAUUAAAAGACGAGAAGACCCUAUAGAGUUUAAUAUUUAUUAAAUAUAAUUUUUUAGAAUUAAUUUUUAUUUUAUAAAUAUUUUAUUGGGGUGAUAAAUAAAUUUAAUUAACUUUAUUUUUUUAAUAACAUAAAUUUAUGAAUAAAUGAUCCAAUUAUUUUGAUUAAAAGAUAAAAUUACCUUAGGGAUAACAGCGUAAUUUUUUUGAAGAGUUCUUAUCGAUAAAAAAGAUUGCGACCUCGAUGUUGGAUUAAAAUUAAUUUUUGGUGUAGAAGCUAAAAAUAUUAAGUCUGUUCGACUUUUAAUUUUUUACAUGAUCUGAGUUUAAAUCGGUGUGAGCCAGAUUGGUUUCUAUCUUUAAUUAAAAAAUAUAUUUUAGUACGAAAGGACCAAAUAUUAAUAAAAUUUAUUUUAUUUUGAAUAAUAUU